GAUGAACGCUGGCGGCGUGCCUAAUACAUGCAAGUCGAGCGAACGGACGAGAAGCUUGCUUUUCUGAUGUUAGCGGCGGACGGGUGAGUAACACGUGGAUAACCUACCUAUAAGACUGGGAUAACUUCGGGAAACCGGAGCUAAUACAGGAUAAUAUUUUGAACGGCAUGGUUCAAAAGUGAACGACGGUCUUGCUGUCACUUAUAGAUGGAUCCGCGCUGCAUUAGCUAGUUGGUAAGGUAACGGCUUACCAAGGCAACGAUGCAUAGCCGACCUGAGAGGGUGAUCGGCCACACUGGAACUGAGACACGGUCCAGACUCCUACGGGAGGCAGCAGUAGGGAAUCUUCGGCAAUGGGCGAAAGCCUGACGGAGCAACGCCGCGUGAGUGAUGAAGGUCUUCGGAUCGUAAAACUCUGUUAUUAGGGAAGAACAUAUGUGUAAGUAACUGUGCACAUCUUGACGUUACCUAAUCAGAAAGCCACGGCUAACUACGUG
Molecule: ribosomal RNA, 497 nt
Filed under: uncultured bacterium
Lineage: Bacteria
Description: partial 16S ribosomal RNA
Rfam family: Bacterial small subunit ribosomal RNA
Source: RNAcentral